GGCAGGGGCUGUGUCUCCCCUUCACCCUGGAGCUGCCUCAGGUCGGGGCACUGUUUUCUCCGUGAGGCUGGAGGCUCGCUGAGAGAGACUCUGCUUCCUGUUGGCACUGGGGCUGUGGUCUGGCAGCCAGGCGCCUGGCCGCUCCCCACACCUCCCAGGAGGCCUGGUGCAGAGGGAGCGGGUCAUGUCCUCCUGCAACGCUCUCCAGCCACCCACCACUUGCCGCCCCGCACCCCUGAGAUCACUAACGUGGCUGAAGGAGCACUGUCUCGCCUUAUUGUUCUAAGGCUGUUCACUAAGCAGACAUGGGUUCAAUCCCUGGAUUGGGAAAAUUCCCUGGAAAAGGAAAUGGCAAUCCACUCCAGUAUUCUUGCCUGGGAAAUCCCAUGGACAAGGGAGCCUGGCAGGUAAGAGUCCAUACGGUCUCAAAAGAGUUGGACACAACUUAGCGACUAAACAAUUACAUACAUAUCCUUAACAUGAUGUGAUGAGAAUGCCACUUCACUUCCGUAGUCAACCUCCCCCAAAUGCAUAGGCCCAGUCUAUGAGAAAAAGAUCAGACAAAUUCCAGCAGAGGGUAUUCUACAAAAAAAAAAAAAACAACCUGACCGUACUCCUCAAACUGUCACGUCAUCAAAAAUAAGAACAAUCCGAGACUAAAUGCGAUGAGGUAUCCCAAAUGGGAUCCUGGGACAAAACAUGGUAAAAACUAGGAAAAUCCGAAUAGAAGUAUGGACUUUAGUUGACAAUAAUAUAUCACUAUAGGUGAUUCAGACAGUAAAUAAUCCACCUGCAAAGAAGGAGACUUGGGUUCAAUCCUUGGGUUGGGAAGAUUCCCUGGAGAAGGGAAUGGCUUCCCACUCCAGUAUUCUUGUCUGGAGAAUUCCAGGGACAAAGGAGCCUGGUGGGCUACAGUCCACAGGGGCACAAAGAAUGACUGAGUGAAUAACAUUUGUGUGUAACAAUAGUAUAUCACUACUGGGAUCUUUAGUUGCAGCAUGUCGGACCUAGUUCCUGACCAGGGAUCAAACCUGGGCCUCCUGCAUUGGGACCAGAGAAUCUUAGGCACUAGACCACCAGGGAAAUCUUACUAUUGUUUCUUUAAUUGUAACACACAUCCAUGCUAAUAUAAGUUGUUAAUAUUAGGGGAAACUGUAUGCGGUGGGACAAGGGAUAUCAAUGGGAACUCUCUGUACUAUCUGUUUAAUUUUUUCUGUAAAUCUAAAACUGUUCUCAUGCAACUGACUAGGGCUUAAUUUCCAAAUAUACAAACAGUUCAUGCAACUUGCAACAAUAACGAAAAACAUGAGCAACCCAAUCAAAACAUGGGCAGAAGACCUCAAGAGAUAUUUCUCCAAAGAAGACAUAUAGAUGGCCAACAGUCACAUGAAAAGAUACUCAAUCUUGCUAAUUAUUAGAGAAAUGCAAAUCAAAACUACAAUGAGGUGCCACUUCACACUGGUCAGAACGGUCAUCAUUAAAAAAUCUAGAAAUAACAAAUGCUGGGGAGGAUUUGGAGUAAAGAAAACCCUCCUACAUUGGUGUGACUGUAAACUGGCGUAGCCACUAUGGAAAACUGUAUGGAUGUUCCUCAAAAAACUAUAAACGGAACUACCAUAUGAUCCAGCAAUCCCAUUCCUGGGCAUAUAUCCUGACUAAACUAUACUCAAAGAGAAACAUACACCCUAUGUUCAUAGCAGCACGGUUCACAAUAGGCAAGACAUGGGAACAACCUAAAUGUCUAUCAACAGAUGACUGGAUAAAGGAGAUGGAAUACUAUCAGACAUAAAAAGGAAUGAAAUAAUGCCAUUUGUAGCAACGUGGAUGGACCUAGAGAUUAUCACACUAAGUCACAAAGACAAAUACCAUGUGAUAUCACUUAUGUGUAAAAUCUAUAAAGAAGGCUGAGCGCCAAAGAAUUGAUGCUUUUGAACUGUGGUGUUGGAGAAGACUCUUGAGAGUCCCUUGGACUGCAAGGAGAUCCAACCCGUCCAUCCUAAAGGAAAUCAGUCCUGAAUGUUCAUUGGAAGGACUGAUGCUGAAGGAUGAAUACUUUGGCCACCUGAUGCGAAGGACUGACUCAUGGAAAAGACCCUGAUGCUGGGAAAGACUGAAGGCAGGAGGAGAAGGGGAUGAGAGAGGAUGAGAUGGUUGGAUGGCAUCCCCGACUCGAUGGACAUGAGUUUGAGCGAGCUCCAGGAGUUGGUGAUGGACAGGGAAGCCUGGCGUGCUGCAGUCCAUGGGAUCGCAGAGUCCGACGCGACUGAGCGACUGAACUGAACUGGUGUGUAAACUCUAAAGUGUGACGCAAAUAAACUUAUCUACAGAACAGAAGCAAACUCACAGACACAGAGAACAGACUUGUGGUUGCCAAGGGGGUGGGGGAGAGACGGAUUGGGAGUCUGAGAUGUGCAGAUGCAAACUAUUAAAUACAGAAUGGAUAAGCAACAAGGUCCUCAUUGCAUAGCCCAGAGAACUAUGGUCAAUACCUGUGAUAAACCACAAUGAAAAAGAAUAUGAAAAGGACUAUAUAUUAUACAUACGCGUACAGCUGAAUCACUUUGCUGUACGCCAGAAAUUAACACGACAUUGUAAACCAACUAUAUUUUAAUAAAAUAAAUUUUUAAAA
This is a long non-coding RNA of Bos taurus (domestic cattle), 2629 nucleotides long. Lineage: Eukaryota; Metazoa; Chordata; Mammalia; Artiodactyla; Bovidae. The record is from Ensembl.